RNAcentral lists this ribosomal RNA (1502 nucleotides) under uncultured bacterium. RNAcentral describes it as "bacterial SSU rRNA". It matches the Rfam family "Bacterial small subunit ribosomal RNA". The record is from RNAcentral.
AGAGUUUGAUCAUGGCUCAGAUUGAACGCUGGCGGCAUACUUAACACAUGCAAGUCGAACGGUAACAGGCAGGAGCUUGCUUCUGCGCUGACGAGUGGCGGACGGGUGAGUAAUACGUAGGAAUCUACCCUAGAGUGGGGGAUAACCCGGGGAAACCCGGGCUAAUACCGCAUACAUUCUAAGGAACAAAGAGGGCCUCUACUUGUAAGCUCUUGCUUUAGGAGGAGCCUACGUCGGAUUAGCUUGUUGGUGAGGUAAGAGCUCACCAAGGCGACGAUCCGUAACUGGUCUGAGAAGAUGAACAGUCACACUGGAACUGAGACACGGUCCAGACUCCUACGGGAGGCAGCAGUGGGGAAUAUUGGACAAUGGGCGCAAGCCUGAUCCAGCAAUGCCGCGUGUGUGAAGAAGGCCUUCGGGUUGUAAAGCACUUUAGUUAAGGAAGAAACGGUUUUGGUUAAUACCCAAGACAAUUGACAUUACUCAAAGAAUAAGCACCGGCUAACUCUGUGCCAGCAGCCGCGGUAAGACAGAGGGUGCAAGCGUUAAUCGGAAUUACUGGGCGUAAAGCGCUCGUAGUGGUCGGCUAAGUCGGAUGUGAAAUCUCCGGGCUUAACCUGGAACGGUCAUUCGAGACUGGUCGACUAGAGUUGAGUAGAGGAUAGUGGAAUUCCGGUGUAGCGGUGAAUGCGUAGAUAUCGGAAGGAACACCAGUGGCGAAGGCGACUAUCUGGACUCAACUGACACUGARGAGSGGAAAGCGUGGGGAGCAAACAGGAUUAGAUACCCUGGUAGUCACGCCGUAACGAUGAGAACUAGCCGUUGGGAGGCAUGACCCUUAGUGGCGCAGCUAACGCGAUAAGUUCUCCGCCUGGGGAGUACGGCCGCAAGGUUAAAACUCAAAGAAAUUGACGGGGGCCCGCACAAGCGGUGGAGCAUGUGGUUUAAUUCGAUGCAACGCGAAGAACCUUACCUACCCUUGACAUCCUUGGAAUUGCUUAGAGAUAAGCGAGUGCCUUCGGGAGCCAAGUGACAGGUGCUGCAUGGCUGUCGUCAGCUCGUGUCGUGAGAUGUUGGGUUAAGUCCCGUAACGAGCGCAACCCUUAUCCUUAGUUGCCAGCGGUUCGGCCGGGGACUCUAAGGAGACUGCCGGUGAUAAACCGGAGGAAGGUGGGGACGAUGUCAAGUCAUCAUGGCCCUUAUGGGUAGGGCUACACACGUGCUACAAUGGGCGGUACAAAGGGUUGCGAAAGCGCAAGCUGGAGCCAAUCUCAAAAAACCGUUCGUAGUCCGGAUUGGAGUCUGCAACUCGACUCCAUGAAGUCGGAAUCGCUAGUAAUCGCGAAUCAGAAUGUCGCGGUGAAUACGUUCUCGGGCCUUGUACACACCGCCCGUCACACCAUGGGAGUGGGCUGUACCAGAAGUGGAUAGACUAACCUUCGGGGGGUCGUUCACCACGGUAUGGUUCAUGACUGGGGUGAAGUCGUAACAAGGUAACCGUA